RNAcentral lists this ribosomal RNA (376 nucleotides) under uncultured organism. RNAcentral's name for it is "partial 16S ribosomal RNA". It matches the Rfam family "Bacterial small subunit ribosomal RNA", at positions 527 to 896 of the family's 1533-position model. The record is from RNAcentral.
GUAGGUGGCAAGCGUUGUCCGGGAAUUAUUGGGGCGUAAAGCGCGCGCAGGCGGUUCUUAAAGGUCUGAUGUGAAAGCCCACGGGCUCAACCGUGGAGGGUCAUUGGAAACUGGAGAACUUGAGUACAGAAGAGGAAAGCGGAAUUCCACGUGUAGCGGUGAAAUGCGUAGAGAUGUGGAGGAACACCAGUGGCGAAGGCGGCUUUCUGGUCUGUAACUGACGCUGAGGCGCGAAAGCGUGGGGAGCAAACAGGAUUAGAUACCCUGGUAGUCCACGCCGUAAACGAUGAGUGCUAAGUGUUAGGGGGUUUCCGCCCCUUAGUGCUGCAGCUAACGCAUUAAGCACUCCGCCUGGGGAGUACGGCCGCAAAGGCUG